UACGUAGGGUGCUAGCGUUGUCCGGAUUUAUUGGGCGUAAAGGGUGCGUAGGCGGGUCUUUAAGUCAGGGGUGAAAUCCUGGAGCUCAACUCCAGAACUGCCUUUGAUACUGAAGAUCUUGAGUUCGGGAGAGGUGGGUGGAACUGCGAGUGUAGAGGUGAAAUUCAUAGAUAUUCGCAAGAACACCAGUGGCGAAGGCGGCUCACUGGCCCGAUACUGACGCUGAGGAGCGAAAGCGUGGGGAGCAAACAGG
This 253-nucleotide ribosomal RNA is filed under the name uncultured bacterium. RNAcentral's name for it is "partial 16S ribosomal RNA". It matches the Rfam family "Bacterial small subunit ribosomal RNA", at positions 524 to 776 of the family's 1533-position model. The record is from RNAcentral.